Molecule: long non-coding RNA, 5497 nt
Organism: Marmota monax (woodchuck)
Lineage: Eukaryota; Metazoa; Chordata; Mammalia; Rodentia; Sciuridae
Exons: 2
Source: RefSeq, a predicted model, not a curated record
CUCUAACGGCGCACUGACGCAACGGACUUCCGGCGCUUCCCAGUAGGUAACAUGGCCGCGCCCAGGUGGCCCCAGCCCGCGGAGGUGGCCAUGUUUGCUGACGUAUUGGGGCCAAAAGGCAGAAUUGCCUCAUUUCCUAGCACUUCUACACUGGCAGAAAAUGUGUAGCGUGAAAACGGGUCGGUAUCCAGGGACUUAGGGCCGACUGAACUGCGAUCAGCGGCUGUCCAGCAUAGUAGUAUGUCUGCCCAGUAGGAGGUCGGGUGCCCCUGAGCAGAGAGCCGCCUCUGGAAAGGAACAGUGACGUCCCUAAGCAGACACCCCUGGAAGCGUGGGCGGGAAAGGGCUCGCGGGAAGCGGCUUUUGAGAACAGAAAAAGGCUGAGACGAGCUGGCAGAGUGGGGCGGCCACGCCCCAGGGGUGCAGCUCGCGGGAGGCCUGGAGCCCAUGGAAGGAGUCGGGGAGCAGGGUCCGGAGGUGUGACACGAGUGUCCAGACCAUGCAGUGGAACAGACUUUUCAGCUAUGUUGUUGGGAUACUCGGAUACCUACAUGCAAAAAACAAGUAAGAAGGUGAUGACUCCCAAGCCAGCCUCCUGGAGAAUGACAGACUGUCAAUACUGCCCCUAUCCAUUCCACUUGAGGCCUAGAUAUGUGAUCAAGACCAUCUAGGCUACUCAGGCCAGGGCAGGCCAGCUCAAACCAAGCAAUCCACACUUCGACCUGCACAGUUAAACUAAUGAUGUUCCUUAUCUGUAGCCUUCGAGUUUGUUGUGUUAGCCAAGUAAAGUUUGUAUAAGGGGGCAAAUACCAACUUUUAUGAAUAUAAAUAUACACAUGCAGGUGAUUAUGUAAAUCAUGGACAUCUCAGGAAAACAAUCUGCAGACUUAAUACAGAAUUUCAACAUAUAUAAGUAAGGGUGAUAUUUAUUUAUGAGGAAAAAACAGAACAUUCUACAAAAGAGCAAAUCUACUACUAUACACACACAUGCAUGCACACAUGCAUGCAUGCAAUUCAAAAUUCUCAGUAUAAAACAAUUUGGUUUUCUCUUUGGUUUAAGACCUGAAUCAGAGGAAUAUCAAAGGUUGGCAUAUUUGUACUGCAAUCAGUUCUCAAUUAUUUGAAUUUGUUAUCUCCAGUUUGAUCUAAAAUUCAGCUAUGUUCCUCCCACAGGCAAUCUCUCCUCCCCUGCUCUGCACUCUACACAGUGCUUUGUGUUAUGGAAGCUUGGAUCUGCCGAGCACCUAUAAUGUGUUUCCAUGUGCAUACUAUACAAGAUGAAAAAAUAUUUAAAUAUUGACCCCAAAAAUAUAUAUACUUGCAAAUAAACAGUGAAAAAUCAUUAAUACUCAGGAAACAAUGCUAUCAAUAAAAUGAAUUGAGUGGGUUUCAAUGAUAGAAAUAGCAAUGACUUAAAGUCAAUGAUAAAUAUAUUUAAAGACCUAAAGAAAACCAUGUUGAAUGGUUUAAAGGAAAAUAAGAGAAUAAUGGCUUGAUAGAAAAUCUUGGUAAGACAGAAAAUGUAAUGAAGAACCCAAUAGAAAUGUUAGUGCUGAAAUAGCAGAGUCUACAAAAGCAAAUGAGUUUAGCAGUACGAUAGGGUGCAAGUUCAACACACAGAUGAAACCAUGAAUAUAGGAGCAUUUACAAUGGCUCUAUAAAUGAUACCUUCAGGUAAACUUCUAACAACAUACAGGAUACGCAUAAGCUAAAAAGCUUUUUAUUUAUUUAUUUUUUAAGAAGAAUUAAUCAAAUGGCAAGACAGCAUUGUUGGGAGCUGCUCUGGACAGAGCUAUGUACACACCUUUAAGUCCUGAGUAAAGGAGUCCUGAACAGUUAUUGCACUCUGCAAUACAUUGGGCUUUUGACCCCUCUUGGAUAAUGAGGCUGGCUCCAGGAGUAGGUGUCACCUGGUGGGGUUGAGAUACACUCACCUGUUCCUUUGAAAUCCUACCCCUUUGCCCUUUUAGGGAAAGAAUGUUCCAUGGGUCCUCCCCUUGUGUGUCCCCUGUGUAAGAAUAAAUAAUUCCAGUGGUUCUCUCUCUUUCCACUGACCCCUAAGGUCAGGAGCCAUCCCUGGAUUUUGAAAAGGUACUUCUGUGUAUUUGCGUGUUUUCUUCGACGUUUUUUUAAGUUAUUGGAGUAGUCAGGUUUUGUGGCCCCAGCAUAGGUUGCCAGCUUGGAUAGAUGGCAGUACAGCAUGUCAGAAGACUCGGUGCAAUAAAGAUGCCAGAUGAACCCACUUUCGUUUAAUAUAUUGAAUGCAAUUUCAGUAAAACAGAAAAAAAAUAAAUAUACACAAGCAUAUUUUAAAGUUUAUCUGGAGGGCUCAUUGCCGCCGGCUGCCAAGGCUUCAGGGGCCAGUGCAAGCGCCCUGCAGCACCUGGCGGAGCAGCUCAAGCUGGAGGCCACCUGGAGGACCAGGGUCUCUCAGGCUGCUGCAGAGCUGCAGCAGUACCACCUGCAGAAUACCUGCAAGGAUGCUCUGCUCGCCAGUGUUCCAGCCAAGAGCAACCCCUUCAUAGAGCCCAGAUCCUGCGCUUUUUCUUUAGGCAAAUGACUGGGGUAUUUCAGACCUUCCUGUGUCCUGCUCUUACAGACAAAAUUCUACAGUAAUUAAUGAUUUUCUACAAAUAUGGAAACUGAGUGAAGAAAUAGAAUUGCUUCAAAUAAUAAUUGCCUGAUUCUCCUGGUGAAGUGCUUUGUACUAAGAUAAACAACUUUAUCACCAAAUAUACCAACAUACACUGCUUUAAUGAGUGAGUUGUUGGUGUUGCUAUACUUAGGAUAUCAUGUAUGUUUUAUUUACUGGAUGUUUACAUUUUAGGAAGGAAAACACUUGUAAAAAACAAAUGGAAUAUUUGUAAUUUGUUGUUCCUAAGAUUUUUAUACUAUAAUAAAAUUUGUUCUAUCAUAAAUCUGCAAUUACUAAAUGAAGACAAGAAAGCAUAAAAUUGGGAGAAGGAAUAGACUUUACUAAUCAAAUGAUGCCUUGAUUCUUUCUAAAUGAGAAUAUUGUUUUAUUUUUAACACUAAACACAAAUGUUUCAUAGUAAACUUGUUUAGAAAGAUUUAUGUUAUGAUGUAUAUUAGGUUGCCCAAUCUGUGUAUGAAACAGAUUUGAUCUCUUUUUAAGUUCCUUUAUAGUUGUGAUUGCACUUUUAAAAAGAUACAUUUAAACAUUUAAAAAAUGUUUAAAAUAUGGCGUACAUACAGAACAUUACAAAUGGUUAAAAACAAAGAAAAGUGAAAUAGUUAUGACCUAAAAGAAUUCUUCAUGUCAUGUCUUUACUUUCAUAGUGUGUCUUUAAUUUGGGAUACCUUGAGAAGGAUACUUUGUGUUUGUAAUAGUCUUCAAAGAUCUUGGGUAUAAAUUCUGCUUAAUUAUUAUGGAUGUAAUGCUCUCCUCUAUUGUGAUGUAUGUAAGAAAUAAUUUAAAAUUAAUUUUAAAAAAAAGAAUUAGAAAAAAAUUAAAUAAAUUCUGCUUAAUUAAAAAGUAUGGAAAGACAAAGAAACUGGAAUAAAUAAAACUAUUUUCAAAGAAAUUUAGAGCCAGAAGAAUAUGAUUCCUUGGUUUUAUGACUAUCACUGCUAUAGUGUGUUAUUGGUGAAACAACAAAUUCAUCAAUGGAAGAGUCAAGAAGUAGUCAAAAAUAUAACCGCUUUUUACAAAUGUGCAAGGUCAAUUUAAUGAGAAAAAAACAGUAAUUUCAAAAUAAUGUUGGACCAACUGUAUAAUCAUAGGCAAAGAAAAUAAAACCUAACCCUCAACUCCUAUCCAAAAACUAACUCCAAAUGGAUCAUAGUUUAAAAAUAUUAAAAGCAAAACUACAUUUGUAAAGUAUAGGAGAAAAUAAUCAUGAUACAGCUAGGUAAUGAAUUUUUAGAUAUGACAUCAAAAUUAUAACUCAUAAAAGAAAAAAUGUAAUUUGGAUUUAAUAUUAUUUAUAUUCCUGAGGAGGGAAAAAUGAUACACCACAUCUGGGGAAAAUAUUUGUAAGUGAUAUGUCCAAGAAAAUUGUACCUAGCAUACAAACCUCUUUAAAAACAUCUCUAAAUGUCAUACUAGGGAAACAAACAUCCUAAUUAAAAAUGGACAAAUGAUUUGAGUAAACACUUCAUCAAAGAUACUUGGAAGGCAAACAAGCACAUGAAAAAAUAAUAUCAAAACCAUUACAGGAGCUGGGUACAGUGGCCCACACCUGUACUCCCAAUGAUCUGGUAGGCUAAGGCAAGAAGAUCUCAAGUUCAAAACCAGACUGGGCAAUACCAUGUCAAGAAAGAAAGAAAGAAAAGAAAAAAGAAGAAAGGAAGGAAGGAAGGAAAGAAAAGGACAAGGGAUAUAGCUUGGUGGUAGGACACUUGCCUAGAAUGUGCAGGACUCGGGGUUUAAUCCCCAGCAAAGCAAAGCACAAAAGCAAACAACAACAAAAAUUAGAAAAAUAUAAAUGAAGGUCGCAAUGAGACAGCACUACUUACAUAAUACAAUGACUAAAUAACACAUGGUGACAAUAGCAAGUGCAAGAAUGUGGAACUAUCAAACUUCUCAUAUAUUCCUGUUGGAAAAUUGAACAGGCACUGUGGAAAAUAGUUAAGCAACAUAAAAUUGAUUCUCACCAUUGGACCCAAAAUUCAAACUCUUCAUAAUCAUCUUAGAGAAAUGAAAUUUGUGCUUACACAAAUGCUUGGUACCAGAAUGUUUGCAGCAUCUUUAUUUAUAAUAGCAAAAAAAUCUGACAAAAACCCUAAUGUCCAUCAGUGGGCAAGUAGAAGAGUAAACUGUUGUAUAUCUAUAUGAAAUAUAUUACCCACCAGCAAAAAGAACAACCAGAAUGGGACUGAGGAUAAUUUGCUUAAGGUUAUAUAAUCAAAUCUCAAAAGGUACAUGAUGUGUGCUUCCAUUUGCAUAACAUUGUACAAAUGAAAAAAUUACAUAUAUUAACAAAUCCUAUUGCCAGGAGUGAGGUGGGGAGCCAAGCAGGAUGGCAUCCCUAUAAAGCCAACUACUCAGGACACCAAAUUGGCUAGAUUACAAAUAUUGAGGCCCAACCUGGGCAACUUAGCAAAAACAUGUCCCAAAAUCAAGUAAAAAUGGUUGGGAUAGCUUAGUGGUAUUGCACUUGACUAGUAUGUGUGAGGCCCUGGGUUUGGUCCUCAAUACCUUCACCCCACCACACCCCAAAAUUUAAAAAGUUGGGAAAGUAUGCAACAAUAAAAAUGCAUGUAGGAAUUUGUUGAUGUGACUUUAUGUUCUUGAUUGUUGUUGUUACAUAUCAUAAAAUGUCCCUAAACUUAAAAACUAAACAUUAAAACUGGUGAUCAAAUAAAUUCUAUUAGUCAACAGUAUGGCAAUAAUUUCCUGUAAUUGAUAAUGAACAGUGGUUAUAUAAGAUGUUAUCUUUGGGAGAAGCUGGUUAAGGGCCUUUAGAAACUCUUUAUUUGGGUAAGAUUUCUGUGAAUCUAAAUUUAUUAUUUCUGAAUAAAACUUAUAAAAGUU